GACGAACGCUGGCGGCGUGCUUAACACAUGCAAGUCGAACGGUAAGGCCCUUCGGGGUACACGAGUGGCGAACGGGUGAGUAACACGUGGGUGAUCUGCCCUGCACUUCGGGAUAAGCCUGGGAAACUGGGUCUAAUACCGGAUAGGACCACUGCCUGCAUGGGUGGUGGUGGAAAGCUUUUGCGGUGUGGGAUGGGCCCGCGGCCUAUCAGCCUGUUGGUGGGGUGAUGGCCUACCAAGGCGACGACGGGUAGCCGGCCUGAGAGGGUGACCGGCCACACUGGGACUGAGAUACGGCCCAGACUCCUACGGGAGGCAGCAGUGGGGAAUUUUCCACAAUGGGCGAAAGCUUGAUGGAGCAACGCCGCGUGCAGGAUGAAGGCCCUCGGGUCGUAAACUGCUUUUAUGUGAGAAGAAUAUGACGGUAACACAUGAAUAAGGGUCGGCUAACUACGUGCCAGCCGCCGCCGUAA
RNAcentral lists this ribosomal RNA (473 nucleotides) under uncultured bacterium. Its description in RNAcentral is "partial 16S ribosomal RNA". It matches the Rfam family "Bacterial small subunit ribosomal RNA", at positions 28 to 523 of the family's 1533-position model. The record is from RNAcentral.